UUAAACCACUGGAAGUGCCUUGAUAAAGGCUGAGAUUAAAGUGAUACCUUUAAAAUUCCUUGAACCUGAUCCAGCUUAUACUGGCGUAGGAAAGUGGCGUAUUGAUUUU
RNAcentral lists this non-coding RNA (109 nucleotides) under Staphylococcus aureus. Its description in RNAcentral is "TPP sequence". It matches the Rfam family "TPP riboswitch aptamer (THI element)". From Rfam's summary of the family: Vitamin B(1) in its active form thiamin pyrophosphate (TPP) is an essential coenzyme that is synthesised by coupling of pyrimidine and thiazole moieties in bacteria. The previously detected thiamin-regulatory element, thi box was extended, resulting in a new, highly conserved RNA secondary structure, the THI element, which is widely distributed in eubacteria and also occurs in some archaea. The record is from RNAcentral. Lineage: Bacteria; Bacillati; Bacillota; Bacilli; Caryophanales; Staphylococcaceae.